UCCGACCUAUAUCUAACCUAUUGUCAACGAUAUUAGACUUCUUGGUGAACAUCAAGCAGAGGGAAAGAGAGUCCCUUGAGCCUAUAUGAGCCGCUUCAAUGCUGCCACACUUGAGGUAUGUGAUCUUGACCGAUUAGUCGCGAUGUCUGUCCCAAAGAACAUACUUCAAAAAUAUCAGUACCUCUUCUUGCUAGAGAGC
This 199-nucleotide long non-coding RNA is filed under the name Elaeis guineensis (African oil palm). RNAcentral describes it as "long non-coding RNA (EGUI_LNC036784)". The record is from RNAcentral. Lineage: Eukaryota; Viridiplantae; Streptophyta; Magnoliopsida; Arecales; Arecaceae.